This 302-nucleotide ribosomal RNA is filed under the name uncultured archaeon. RNAcentral's name for it is "partial 16S ribosomal RNA". It matches the Rfam family "Archaeal small subunit ribosomal RNA", at positions 477 to 747 of the family's 1478-position model. The record is from RNAcentral.
CUGCAGCCCGAGUGGUGAUCGAUUUUAUUGAGCCUAAAGCGUCCGUAGCCGGACUAGUAAACCCUUGGGUAAAUUGGGCAGCUUAACUGCCCGAAUUCCGAGGGGACUGCUAGUCUUGGGACCGGGAGAGGUCAGAGGUACUCCAGGGGUAGGGGCUAAAUCCGAUAUGCUUUCGUGGCAUUCGGUUAGCAUUCCUGUAAUCCUUGGGGGACCACCAGUGGCGAAGGCGUCUGACUAGAACGGAUCCGACGGUAAGGGACGAAACCCUGGGGCGCGAACCGGAUUAGAUACCCGAGUAGUCC